RNAcentral lists this ribosomal RNA (316 nucleotides) under uncultured eukaryote. Its description in RNAcentral is "partial 18S ribosomal RNA". It matches the Rfam family "Eukaryotic small subunit ribosomal RNA", at positions 1470 to 1796 of the family's 1831-position model. The record is from RNAcentral.
CCCUUAGAUGUUCUGGGCCGCACGCGCGCUACACUGAUGCAUUCAACGAGUCUAAAACCUGCUCUGAUAGGGGUGGGUAAUCUUUUGAAUGUGCAUCGUGAUUGGGAUAGAUGAUUGCAAUUUUUCAUCUUCAACGAGGAAUGCCUAGUAAACGCAAGUCAUCAGCUUGCAUUGAUUACGUCCCUGCCCUUUGUACACACCGCCCGUCGCACCUACCGAUUGAAUGGUCCGGUGAAGCCUCCGGAUUGGCGCGCACCUCGGUGCCGCCGAGAAGUUGGCUAAACCUUACCAUUUAGGGGAAGGUGAAGUCGUAACA